Long non-coding RNA from Glycine soja, 606 nucleotides. RefSeq lists it as uncharacterized. The record is from RefSeq and is a predicted model, not a curated record. The transcript has 3 exons. NCBI's taxonomy places the organism in Eukaryota, Viridiplantae, Streptophyta, Magnoliopsida, Fabales, Fabaceae.
CAGUCACAAACAUUGGAUGGUCUAGAAAGUGGAACAUAAAGAACAUUGACUAUUUUUUGUGUUUUGUGCCUAUCAAGCAUCAAUAUGCCAAUUUCUCUAAUCAUGGUUACAAGAACACAGAAAAAGGUUCCCUGAAUCUUCAGUUGAUUAAUUAGAGAUCUGACUUUUCAUUUGCGCUUUUCACGGGUGGCUUAACAAUACUCAAGUCGAUAGUCAAUUGCCUCAUGCUCUUCAGCCACAGUUGUCACUAUGGUGGAACCAUUCUUUGCAAAGCCAAGAGACAUUGUCGAGAACAACCUCGAUGCAUGUGUUCUCACCUUUGUGUGUUGAGACCAUGUUUGCUUCCUUUUUGUGCUCCUAGUGUUUGGUGAUGGUGCUGCCUACAGUGAGGAGGAAGAUGACGAGAAGAAAAGACCGAAUGAAGUGAGAAGGGUAAGAUGGAGAAUUUAUAAAUUUAGAGGGUGCACCAAGUAAAAUUGGGUUGCAUCAAGCAAUUGUACUGUGACAACUAACAAGAAGAUGCAAAGCUACAAUGCGCACUUUGAUAUGGCAAUAAAAUAUAAUUAAAAAAAAUAAACAGAAAAGAAAAGAUGAAACGUACUGUGA